This 72-nucleotide transfer RNA is filed under the name Megaris sp. Its description in RNAcentral is "tRNA-Lys". Lineage: Eukaryota; Metazoa; Arthropoda; Insecta; Hemiptera; Megarididae. The record is from RNAcentral.
CAUUAAGUGGCUGAAACACAUUAAGCACUGGUCUCUUAAACCAACCUAUAGUCUUUAUAUGACUCUUAAUGA